AAAGUCGUAACAAGGUUUCCGUAGGUGAACCUGCGGAAGGAUCAUUACCAUAAUAAAAUUUCCAAACCCAUGUGCACGAUGAAUAAAAUGUCUUGGUUUUUGGGGUAGGCUUCACAGUUUACCCCGACCAAUUUCUUUGUAAACUACUUUAUAUUAGCUUGGCAUUGUAAUACAAAUGUGUAAUAAUUAUAUGACAACUUUUAACGGUGGAUCUCUUGGCUCGU
Molecule: unclassified non-coding RNA, 224 nt
Filed under: Basidiomycota sp.
Lineage: Eukaryota; Fungi; Basidiomycota
Description: partial contains small subunit ribosomal RNA, internal transcribed spacer 1, and 5.8S ribosomal RNA
Rfam family: Eukaryotic small subunit ribosomal RNA (bases 1-47)
Source: RNAcentral